AACGAACGCUGGCGGCAUGCCUAACACAUGCAAGUCGAACGAGACCUUCGGGUCUAGUGGCGCACGGGUGCGUAACGCGUGGGAACCUGCCCUUAGGUUCGGAAUAACUCCCCGAAAGGGGUGCUAAUACCGGAUCAUGUCUUCGGACCAAAGAUUUGUCGCCUUUGGAUGGGCCCGCGUUGGAUUAGCUAGUUGGUAGGGUAAAAGCCUACCAAGGCGACGAUCCAUAGCUGGUCUGAGAGGAUGAUCAGCCACACUGGGACUGAGACACGGCCCAGACUCCUACGGGAGGCAGCAGUAGGGAAUAUUGGACAAUGGGCGAAAGCCUGAUCCAGCAAUGCCGCGUGAGUGAUGAAGGCCUUAGGGUUGUAAAGCUCUUUUACCCGGGAUGAUAAUGACAGUACCGGGAGAAUAAGCGCCGGCUAACUCCGUG
RNAcentral lists this ribosomal RNA (433 nucleotides) under uncultured bacterium. Its description in RNAcentral is "partial 16S ribosomal RNA". It matches the Rfam family "Bacterial small subunit ribosomal RNA", at positions 29 to 507 of the family's 1533-position model. The record is from RNAcentral.